GCAUUGCCAAGCAGCAGACCCUCCCUCCCAGACCCUCCCACCUCCUGGACAGCAUCCAUUUUACAUUCAUUGUGAAGCUGCAUUCUUAGUGAGCUGUCCAGGAAGUGGGAGGGUCUGGGAGGGAGGGUCUGCUGCUGAUUGG
Molecule: non-coding RNA, 142 nt
Organism: Pelobates cultripes (western spadefoot toad)
Lineage: Eukaryota; Metazoa; Chordata; Amphibia; Anura; Pelobatidae
Source: the annotation of a GenBank genome assembly